This 3053-nucleotide ribosomal RNA is filed under the name Streptomyces iranensis. Lineage: Bacteria; Bacillati; Actinomycetota; Actinomycetes; Kitasatosporales; Streptomycetaceae. The record is from RNAcentral.
UUAAGGGCGCACGGUGGAUGCCUUGGCACCAGGAACCGAUGAAGGACGUGGGAGGCCGCGAUAGGCCCCGGGGAGCUGUCAACCGAGCUUUGAUCCGGGGGUGUCCGAAUGGGGAAACCCGGCAGUCGUCAUGGGCUGUCACCCAUACCUGAACACAUAGGGUAUGUGGAGGGAACGCGGGGAAGUGAAACAUCUCAGUACCCGCAGGAAGAGAAAACAACCGUGAUUCCGGGAGUAGUGGCGAGCGAAACUGGAUGAGGCUAAACCGUAUGUGUGUGAUACCCGGCAGGGGUUGCGCGUGCGGUGUUGUGGGUUCGUACUUCAGUCGUCUGCCGGCGGCUGGGUGAGUCAGAAAUUGUUGAUGUAGGCGAAGGGCAUGCGAAAGGCCCGGCGUAGAGGGUAAGACCCCCGUAGCUGAAAUGUCAGCAACUUGCUUGUGCGAUACCCAAGUAGCACGGGGCCCGAGAAAUCCCGUGUGAAUCUGGCGGGACCACCCGCUAAGCCUAAAUAUUCCCUGGUGACCGAUAGCGGAUAGUACCGUGAGGGAAUGGUGAAAAGUACCGCGGGAGCGGAGUGAAAUAGUACCUGAAACCGUGUGCCUACAAGCCGUGGGAGCGUCGCCGUGUUCUUUGGAGCACGGUCGUGACUGCGUGCCUUUUGAAGAAUGAGCCUGCGAGUUUGCGGUGUGUUGCGAGGUUAACCCGUGUGGGGAAGCCGUAGCGAAAGCGAGUCCGAAUAGGGCGGUUUAGUAGCGCGCUCAAGACCCGAAGCGGAGUGAUCUAGCCAUGGGCAGGUUGAAGCGGAGGUAAGACUUCGUGGAGGACCGAACCCACCAGGGUUGAAAACCUGGGGGAUGACCUGUGGUUAGGGGUGAAAGGCCAAUCAAACUCCGUGAUAGCUGGUUCUCCCCGAAAUGCAUUUAGGUGCAGCGUCGUGUGUUUCUUGCCGGAGGUAGAGCACUGGAUAGGCGAUGGGCCCUACCGGGUUACUGACCUUAGCCAAACUCCGAAUGCCGGUAAGUGAGAGCGCGGCAGUGAGACUGUGGGGGAUAAGCUCCAUGGUCGAGAGGGAAACAGCCCAGAGCAUCGACUAAGGCCCCUAAGCGUACGCUAAGUGGGAAAGGAUGUGGAGUCGCAGAGACAACCAGGAGGUUGGCUUAGAAGCAGCCAUCCUUGAAAGAGUGCGUAAUAGCUCACUGGUCAAGUGAUUCCGCGCCGACAAUGUACCCCAAGAGUCCAUAUCGACGGGAUGGUUUGGCACUCGAUGUCGGCUCGUCGCAUCCUGGGGCUGGAGUCGGUCCCAAGGGUUGGGCUGUUCGCCCAUUAAAGCGGUACGCGAGCUGGGUUUUAGAACGUCGUGAGACAGUUCGGUCCCUAUCCGCUGUGCGCGUAGGAGUCUUGAGAAGGGCUGUCCCUAGUACGAGAGGACCGGGACGGACGAACCUCUGGUGUGCCAGUUGUUCUGCCAAGGGCAUGGCUGGUUGGCUACGUUCGGGAGGGAUAACCGCUGAAAGCAUCUAAGCGGGAAGCCUGCUUCGAGAUGAGGACUCCCACCCACUUGAUGGGUUAAGGCUCCCAGUAGACGACUGGGUUGAUAGGCCAGAUAUGGAAGCCGGGUGACCGGUGGAGUUGACUGGUACUAAUAGGCCGAGGGCUUGUCCUCAGAUGCUCGCGUCCACUGUGUGGUUCCCGGGUUGCGAACAGUCGCACCGGUGAAUCAGUUCCACUUUACUUAAUUGAAGAGUGUGCUUGUUCGCUAGAACCCGAUAGGGUUUCGGUGGUCAUUGCGUUAGGGAAACGCCCGGUUACAUUCCGAACCCGGAAGCUAAGCCUUUCAGCGCCGAUGGUACUGCAGGGGGGACCCUGUGGGAGAGUAGGACGCCGCCGAACAAUCUUUGAAGGACCCUUGGUCCCAGCGUGCAUGCUGGGACCAAGGGUCCUUUUGUUUUUGCUGGGCCCGCAUCGGCGUGACCGGUGCGGGAGAAUGGCUGAAGUACAUGAAGACAGGAGUCACGCCGAUGUCCACCAACUCUCCCGACGACCGGUCGGGCCGCGAGCCCCGGGGCCGGGAAGCCGGCGACCGGCGGGAGGCCCGCGGCUCCGGGCCGCGCCGCGACGGCGGUCGUGGUGGUUUCCGGCGUGACGACCGCCGCGAUGAGCGGCCGCGCGGGCCACGCCGCGAUGAUGACCGUGGCGGGUUCCGCCGUGACGAUGACCGUGGUGGCUUCCGCCGCGAUGACCGGCGGGACGAGCGUCGGGAUGAUCGCCGGGACGACCGGUCGCGUGGCCCGCGUCGGGACGAUGAGCGCGGAGGCCGCCCCGGCGGCUCUGGGCGCCGCGAUGACCGGGGUGGCCGCCCCGCUGGGCGUUACGAGCGCCGUGACGACCGGCGUGAUGACCGCCGUGACGAUCGUCGUGACGAGCGGCCGCGUGGGCCUCGGCGUGAUGACCGCGACGGUGGCUCCCGCCAGGGCGGUUUCCGACGGGACCGUGACGAUCGGCCGGGCUUCCGCCGUGACGAUGACCGAGGUGGCUACCGGCGCGACGACCGCCGGGAUGAGCGCCGCGACGGGCGCCGUGAUGACCGUGGUGGGUUCCGCCGCGAUGACCGUGAUCGUGACCGUGGCGGCCGGGGCGGCGGCUCUGAGCGCCGGGAUGAGCGGCCUUCGUAUCGUCGUGAUGAUGACCGUGGUGGGUUCCGGCGGGAUGACCGGCGGGAUGAGCGGCCUUCGUACCGUCGUGAUGAUGACCGUGGUGGGUUCCGGCGGGACGAGCGCCGGGAUGAGCGGCCUUCGUAUCGUCGUGAUGAUGACCGUGGUGGGUUCCGGCGGGAUGACCGGCGGGAUGAGCGGCCCUCGUACCGUCGCGAUGACGACCGCAGUGGGUUCCGGCGGGACGAGCGCCGUGACGAUCGUCGGGAUGACCGUCGUGACGAGCGACCGCGUGGGCCUCGCCGUGAUGACCGGGACGGUGGCUUCCGGGGUGGUCGGGACGACCGCGGGCCGCGUCGUCCGUACGGUCAGGGCCGGGGCCGCGACGACCGGCGCUCCGGCG